AGGAGUGUAAUUCAGUGGCAGAAUGCCGGUCUCCAAAACCGGAUACGGGGGUUCGAUUCCCUCCACUCCUG
Molecule: transfer RNA, 71 nt
Filed under: bacterium
Lineage: Bacteria
Description: tRNA-Trp
Rfam family: tRNA
About the family: Transfer RNA (tRNA) molecules are approximately 80 nucleotides in length. Their secondary structure includes four short double-helical elements and three loops (D, anti-codon, and T loops).
Source: RNAcentral